AAAAAAAUAUCUACAUAGAACUCUCUCUCUCUCUCUCCAUGAAAAAAAAGAACUCUCCUCUCCUCCCGUACGAUCCCCACCAGGCUCCUCAUACACAUCCGCCAUUUCUUCCGAUUUGCCGCCGGCGAAGGACGGCGUCUCUGUGCCCCAUCAGGAAACUAAUCCUCACGCUAUCCCAGAUCCACAUGUCGCUUCUUUUCUCCUGAUUUUUCUUCCUUGGUGGUGGCACAUGUGGCUGGGUGAGUGCGUGGAUCUCGGCGAACUCGUCUACUCUGGCAACGCGGUCACGGAGAUUUCCAGUGGGAACGCGGGCUACGCCGCUCAAACUUGUCGUGCCCGGAGGCUCUGGAUGUUGGGGCCGCGGAGGCAUUGAGGGAGCUCGCGGAGGAAGAAAUAUCUGCAAGACGUGAGUAUCUUCUGUGAGUGGCUGUUAGCUGUUGCCCUCCUGCUGCCCGGACCUCUACCAAAUCACAAAGGGCCACUUUGAGUCGCUUGGUGACAUAAUGAUUAUAGGAGCAUCACCUGCAAACCUACCUUCAGUUUUAGCUCGUGGAUUGGAAUUCCUGGGAAGAUCAUGUUGCUAAGGAACUCUGUUGCACACAUAUUCUCCAUUGUGUUGUAAUUCAUUGUUGCCUUGCACACAGUGUCCAAGUAUAGGAUUGCUCUUUCUUCGAGAAAUUCACGGUUACGAUAGUUUUGCUGCAAGUUUGGAUCGUAAUAUCCAUUCUGCAAAUUCGGCCACAUUUUGCUUUUCUAUUGGAUCUUCUGACAGACUUUAGCCGCAUGUUUUGAGUUAGUCUAAAUAUUUCGAAGUACUUCCAUAGGAGCAAAGCUGCAACGCCAGAUGAUGCUAACGCAAGCACUUUCUUUCCCUCUGACCGUAGCUUCGUUGUAAUUGCUUUCCAUAGAUAAAUUUUGCCUGUGCCACUGUAGCCUUCUACAAAUAUCUAUUUUCCAAGUCCUUUCUCAGUUGAUUCCAUUAUUGCAUCAAAGGUCAUUUUCUGGCCAUGGUUAACAUUGCUUAUUAUGGUUUGGUGCUCAUUCUUUAGUGCCUCCAUGCCAUAGCUAAGUUUUUCGUUUAUCAUUCUGUUCCCAAGUUCUUCAAGUUCUGUAGCAUUUGGUAGUUCUUUAUCUGGAUAGCCCUUUAGUGUCUUUCCUUCUUGCCUCAUUAGUUUCUCUAUCUCAAUCAGACCAUAUGCCUUUUCCUAUGAAUCAGUGAGCUGCAGCAUAGGAAAGUUAAGGAUAAUUCUUAUUUUGUACUAGAUAUCUUUAUCAGUGCCUCCCAUGUUGAUUCCCUCAACAUCUUUGGGCUGGUCACCUCACAAUGUCAUAAAAUUGUGGUGAAUAAUUGUCGUAAUUGUGUCCCUGAGCCCCAGCAUUAUGCUUCAUUGAUGCAUUCAAUCCACUCACUGUCGUCAUCAAGAAAUCCAAGCGCUUGGCAUGCUUAUUUGUAUGUUGGGUGAACAGCUCCAUUAACGGUUCCAAUAUCCUGAAUGAUGUGCAUCCUUUCUUGGUGUUUAGAAGCAUUCUCAUAUAAUACCGGUUGCCACUUGCAGAGUGUGCAUAGUAGAUUCUCCCAAUAGCGAAGCCCCUUUUCGGCUCCCCAAGUUUUGGUUUCGCUUUUCCAUACAAAUUUUGAUGGGAAUUCUGCAUAGGUUAAUUCUUUUCCCGCCUCAUGUAUUUCGUUUGCCUCCAUCCACUCAGUGAACUUAGUACUCGUGGAUCCUGGCCUUCUACUAUCUUAUCAAUGUCAGUCGAGUCCAGAAAAAUAACUUCUUGAUCAUUUUCAAUGUGGAAUGGUAGUCUCUUGACUGGUGGAUCACGAUGGUGUGUAGAUCAAACUGGAAUAUCCGCCAGUAUGCUCCAGUUGUUGAUAUGUAUCUCAUCUCUAGGUAUUUCUUGAUGUCAUCAUAGUCGUUUGCCGCAUCUCUUUCCUUUAGUAAGGCCAUUACCUGAUCGUCAUCUUUAUAGAUGUUCUUAAAUAGGUACUUGAUUGACCUGGGCCUGUUGCACCACUCGACAUUUAUGUGACCUUGGAAUUGACCAAAAGGUUGCGGUUGUAUGGUACGACAAAUCUGUUGUUGAGCAUUGCUCCUCCCUUUUUGAUCUUCCUUCCAUUGUCUCACCUUCUAUAUACUGGAAACCCAUCCUCAUGGAUUGUGGUAUCGACAUUGUAUCCUUUUGGGAAGUGUUUAGUGCAUCUGUUGUCCAUCAUGCAUGGUGAUUUUGUAUUUGCCUCUCUGCAAGGCCCGUGCAUCAUGAAAUUUUCAACAGCUUCAUAUCCGUCCGGAUCAACAUCUUUGUCCGAGAUCUCCGCACUGAUUGUUUGGUCAAUUUCUGAUGAUCCUUUGCACUUAUAUCAUAUCUGGGCUAAUAAGCUCAUCAGUGGUAGGAUUGACUGAAUACCACAUUCGUAUUUGUUUUACUUGAUGAAUGUUCCAGUUCCGUCCCCUUGUAUUUAAGUCGCUCAACUUCUUGCAUGUCAUAGUGUUUUGCCUUGAAUAUUAAUAGGGAACAAUUUGUCAAUUGAUAUAGUGUUUAUAAAGAUUCUAUCCGGAGAAAAUAAGACUGUUACUAACAAUUACCAAAUUAUCUGAUG
This is a long non-coding RNA of Triticum aestivum (bread wheat), 2599 nucleotides long. RefSeq lists it as uncharacterized. NCBI's taxonomy places the organism in Eukaryota, Viridiplantae, Streptophyta, Magnoliopsida, Poales, Poaceae. The record is from RefSeq and is a predicted model, not a curated record. The transcript has 6 exons.